This 332-nucleotide non-coding RNA is filed under the name Oryctes borbonicus. RNAcentral describes it as "Eukaryotic large subunit ribosomal RNA". It matches the Rfam family "Eukaryotic large subunit ribosomal RNA", at positions 24 to 354 of the family's 3401-position model. The record is from Rfam by way of RNAcentral. Lineage: Eukaryota; Metazoa; Arthropoda; Insecta; Coleoptera; Scarabaeidae.
ACCGCCGAAUUUAAGCAUAUUACUAAACGGAGGAAAAGAAACUAACUAGGAUUCCCUCAUCGGCGGCGAGCGCACAUGGAAGAGCCCAUCACCGAAUCCCGCGGCCGGUUAACGCCGGGAAAUGUGGUGUUAGGAAUCCUGAGAUCGCUCGGCACGCCCAAGUUCUUCUUGAACACUUACCCAUAGGAGGUGCCAGGCCCGCAGUUGAUCGCCGUCGAUCGCAGGAAGAUCAUCCCUCAGAGUUGGGUUGUUUGAGAAUGCAGCCCUAAGUGGGUGGUAAACUUCACCUAACGCUAAAUAUAACCACGUUUUGGAGGUUUAAUAAACUUUUU